RNAcentral lists this ribosomal RNA (433 nucleotides) under uncultured bacterium. RNAcentral describes it as "bacterial SSU rRNA". It matches the Rfam family "Bacterial small subunit ribosomal RNA", at positions 29 to 507 of the family's 1533-position model. The record is from RNAcentral.
AACGAACGCUGGCGGCAGGCCUAACACAUGCAAGUCGAGCGAGGUAGCGAUACCUAGCGGCGGACGGGUGAGUAACGCGUGGGAACGUACCCUUUGGUUCGGAAUAGCCCUGGGAAACUGGGAGUAAUACCGGAUACGGUCGAGAGACGAAAGAUUUAUCGCCGAAGGAGCGGCCGAUGUCGGAUUAGCUAGUUGGUGAGGUAAAGGCUCACCAAGGCGACGAUCCGUAGCGGGUCUGAGAGGAUGAUCCGCCACACUGGGACUGAGACACGGCCCAGACUCCUACGGGAGGCAGCAGUGGGGAAUUUUGGACAAUGGGCGCAAGCCUGAUCCAGCCAUGCCGCGUGAGUGAUGAAGGCCUUAGGGUUGUAAAGCUCUUUUACCCGAGAUGAUAAUGACAGUAUCGGGAGAAUAAGCUCCGGCUAACUCCGUG